This is a non-coding RNA of Misgurnus anguillicaudatus (oriental weatherfish), 905 nucleotides long. The record is from RefSeq and is a predicted model, not a curated record. Lineage: Eukaryota; Metazoa; Chordata; Actinopteri; Cypriniformes; Cobitidae.
UUAAAGUUAUCAUUAUAAUAAUGCACUGACAGUAUAUUUCUAAAAUACAUUAUUUAGUAUUCUUUAGAAACAGUAUAUUUUAAGCACAUUUUGAAAGUAUAUGGGGUGUACAAAUGUAUAUUAUUUUAUGGAGAAAUAACGUGGGCUUAAAAUUACGAGAGAGCAGUAUGUUCUGUUACAUUUUAUAUUGUAGAUGUAUACAUUUGUAAUAUACUAUUAACAUAAUAAGGUACACUUUAACUUCACUAUAGUCAAGCAUUGGAUAAACCAAUGAACUGUGUUUUACCACAAAAUAACCAUGGUUUUGCUAAUAAUAGUCAAUACACCAAAAAAAAAACAUGGUUACUAAACUUUUACCACAAUAAAAAAACAUUCAUUUUCGUAAGGGGAAUAUGAGUGUUUGUUUUUUUGUAGUUUUUGAGUCAAUUGCAUACCGCUUUUAGCUGUACACAUUAAUUAACUUAAACAGUUUUCGUAAAUGCAUUUCAGAGAAAAGUGAAUUCUGAGAUUUGAAUAAUGCAUCUGACGUGUGGGAUGACGUCACAACGCACGUAUUUUGAUUUUUACCAGUCGUUCAAGACAGACGGAUUCAGUCCCAAGAAGCUAAAGUUUUUCAAAGACAUUUGUAGGGAGGACUUUGCAGCUAAUGAUUUCCUAAGGCUGAACCAAAACCUGCCAGACUAAAGUUAAUUUGGGAGAGAAAGACGUUGUAAACUUAAUCGUCUUGACAUUCUUCAAUGAGUAAUUGUUAAAUUUUUAGGCAAAUACUGUACACUUUGAAUGCUGUGAAUAAAACUAUAUUUUAAAUAUAUUUAAAAUGAAUUGUUUUUGACUGUUUUAAUCAGCUUUUAUUUAUUUGGAAAAAAUUAUUUUGGUUAUGUUACCAGCAAGUAAUCUAUUCCCAA